AUUGCAUAUACCAAUGGAAAACUCUAUAACCAAAUAUUGAAAUCUUGGAAGAUUCCAGGUGCAGAAUAAACAUUUUCUGAAGAUUUGGAGCUAAAUAAAAAUAAUAUACAGGAUUUCAAUAUAGUUGAAGAUGAGCUAGUAUUUGAUGGUAUGGA
Aphis gossypii (cotton aphid) is the source of this 155-nucleotide long non-coding RNA. RefSeq lists it as uncharacterized. NCBI's taxonomy places the organism in Eukaryota, Metazoa, Arthropoda, Insecta, Hemiptera, Aphididae. The record is from RefSeq and is a predicted model, not a curated record. The transcript is spliced from 3 exons.